Molecule: long non-coding RNA, 832 nt
Filed under: Fukomys damarensis (Damara mole-rat)
Lineage: Eukaryota; Metazoa; Chordata; Mammalia; Rodentia; Bathyergidae
Description: lncRNA (ENSFDAG00000025900.1)
Source: RNAcentral
GAUGGCGGUUCCCACUGAGGACUAUGCGUAACACCAACUGUGCUGGGAAAAGUGAAUGGUUCCCCCAGACUUCAGUGAUCCAGGCAGCUGUGGGCAUUUUCUCUUGUUUCCAAAAUUAGUAAGUCAGGGCACAAUUUCUGACAGAUCCAGUUGUCAGGGGAAAGACAGGAGCAGAGAAUCUCUCAAAAAGAGGUAUGAAGAAAAAAGGCUAUAGAGUCCUGCCAGGGCAACAGUCAACCCUGCAGUGAACAGGAGCCUUGGUUAACCCUGUGUCCUAAACCCAGGGCACUGCUCCUGCAGCAUCUUCUAGACAGGAGAUUAAAUUCCUAUCAAAGCAACUCGGUCCAGACCUAAAUGUUCCCAGAGUCUUAAAGCUUCUUCUGAAAAGUUUUUGUCAAUUCUGUAGUCCUGUAACACGCAAAUGUGACAAAAAUAAGUUUUUAAAAAACUUUUUCCUACAUGGUGAAGGUAAGAAAUUGUCCACAACAAGAGGCUUCAAGUGUAAACUUUUAGGAAGUACCUCUCUGCCUCGUACACACUCCCCCCUCGCUAGCUCAAGUGACCAAUCAGAUACCUUAAUCCCAUCUCCAUGGCCCAGUGAGCAGUAUGGAUGUGGAAAAACCAGUCAACAGUGAGCUCAGGCAUUUUAAUGAGACGUAGCCAGCUGGAGCCCACUCCUCCUCCAGCCAGGUCAAAUGCUGCCCCAGCUAGCCCAGGUUGGGAGAAACCACCUCCUCCCUGAAUCCAAAUAAAACCUCCUGAGACCUACAUAACCUACUCUACUGUCCAGCCACUAUGGAAACCAGGAGAAAUGCAGGCUGUGUGGAGAGCA